CGAUCUAUGGCUUAGUUGGUUGAGGCACCGCCGAUGACAGGCGAGAGUGCGGGUUCGAGUCCCGCUAGAACGG
Molecule: transfer RNA, 73 nt
Filed under: Operophtera brumata (winter moth)
Lineage: Eukaryota; Metazoa; Arthropoda; Insecta; Lepidoptera; Geometridae
Rfam family: tRNA
About the family: Transfer RNA (tRNA) molecules are approximately 80 nucleotides in length. Their secondary structure includes four short double-helical elements and three loops (D, anti-codon, and T loops).
Source: Rfam by way of RNAcentral